This is a long non-coding RNA of Vespula vulgaris, 1941 nucleotides long. RefSeq lists it as uncharacterized. Lineage: Eukaryota; Metazoa; Arthropoda; Insecta; Hymenoptera; Vespidae. The transcript has 2 exons. The record is from RefSeq and is a predicted model, not a curated record.
GAAAGAAAGAAAGAAAGAGAUAGAAAAAAGGAUAAUAUAGGUACCGGUCUGCUUAACAGACGAGGUAGAAGGCACGAACAACCGCACACGCUCUCUCUGUCAAAAUAAACGGCACUAUCGCGAUUUAUCUCGUUUCCCAUGAUAAUAAGAGAUAAAACUGCAUCCUUACAUUAGCUACUAUAUCAGCUAAAAUGAUAAUUUCAGUCGUCGGAUUCGCCAGGAAGGUGUAGGGCCGUGGUGUUCCUCUUACACUUUUCGUGCGUUCGAGUUGACUCAGAUCCGUUCGACUCGUCGAAACUAAAGUAACGAAAAGAUCGCGGAAGAAGAGUAAAUUUUUGUUUUUUUUUUUUUUCUUUACGGAAGUGCCCGGUGAAAGUGGAGAAAGAAUUACCAUGAUCGAAUUGUCGAAGUUCCGUCGGAUGAUUACGGUGUCGCGAGUACGUACUUGAGAAUCUCUAACGAGAUUUUCUUUUCAAAGGCAUGGGGAAUCGUCCUCUUUCGUGUUCGAUCAGUGAUCUCGAUGAUUUAAGCUUCUUCUUCACGUGGGACUUUAAUUGUUCGCGAGUUUUUGUUCUUUCUUUUUGGAGUGAUCUAGAUACUUCCAAUAUCAGAAUAAUGAAAGAAGAGGAAGAAAAGAGGAAAAGUUAGGGAAACGUGAAAAGAUAAUGAAAAACACGUCGACCAGAGCAAGAGCAAACACAGAAGCACGUGCACCGUUGCGUAUGUUUCUUUCGUAGAUGCUCCCUUUCCUCCUAUCGAACUAUUACCGAUGUCUAGUUAACACGUUGAAUGCUAUGGGGGUCAUCGGUGAUCGACAGUGUAUUUGUCUGUAGCGUCAUGGGAACCACCGUUGACCACAACGACGCGAAGAUUAAUAGAAACGCCUAAUUAGAGCAAAUGUCAAUAUUUAUCAAUUUUUCAAUACCAUUAUCAAUAAUGGUGUGAAGGUAUCCAAUAAGAUAACUUCGUGAAACGUUAUUAUAUACCUCAACUUAUUCAUUGCAGAUAAUAUUUUAAAAUAAUAUAUACCACAUAACAACAGAUUCACAUUGGCGUUGUGGACCAGUCAUGUAAUAUUAAUACGACAUUCAACGUGUUAAAUAAGAAAAAAAAAAACAACGAUAAACACGAAUAUCGAUUUAUGUUGAAAGUGAUCUCUACGUUCGAAAACAAUUUUAUUUGCUUAAUAAUUAAUAUUAAUAAAUAAAGAAAAAAGAAGAAGAAAAACUUACGUUUGUGACGGCUUCGUUAGAAGAGGAUAGAAGAUGAACAAUGAAAGUCGUCGAACUUGCUCUCCCUCCGAGUGAGAUCUUUUGAAAAUUAUCUUUCUCUCACUUUCUCUCCCUCUCUCUGUUUGACUCUCUCUCUCUCUCUCUCUCUCUCUCUAUUAUUUUUUAUCUUCUUCUUCUUUAAAAUCUCUUCGUUUCUUUCUAUUUCUCUCCCUGUUUCUUUCUCGAAUGUUUUUUCUUCUUUUUCGUUUCGAAACUUUUCGUUAUGGAAUUUUUCGUUACAAUUUCUUUUUCUCUUUUUUUCUGUUUCAAAUUAACCGGAUGAAAUUCUCUCGUACUUUUUCGUAGCACUUUUUUCCACACGCUUGUGCGUCCGCGACGCCUCGCGAGUGUUUGCGCUUGACACAGGUGCGCGUUCGCUCUUCCAAGGUGCGUGCACGAGCGAGUCGAGCGAGCAAUGUAAAAUGAGAAAGAGAGAUAGAUGUAGAAUCGGAUGAUACCACACCACGGCUGCCGCCUGGUAGCGCCGUUUCGAAGCUCCGAUUCGAUCGGAGUACCCGUCAAAUAUUGACCGACAACCACCGACGAUCACCUUCUGUCCACUUCUCUCUCUCUCUCUCUUUCUCUCUCGCAUUUUCCUUUUUUUUCUAGUCAUCGACGCCAUUUUGUAGAGUUUUAUAUAUAUAUAUAUAUACACAUAUAUCUGUUUCUC